GACGCCGUCGUCUAGUGGUCAAGAUCUGGGCCCUUCAAGCCCGGGACAAGGGUUCAAAUCCCUUCGGCGUCACCA
RNAcentral lists this transfer RNA (75 nucleotides) under Candidatus Sungiibacteriota bacterium. RNAcentral's name for it is "Candidatus Sungbacteria bacterium tRNA-Glu". It matches the Rfam family "tRNA". Rfam says of the family: Transfer RNA (tRNA) molecules are approximately 80 nucleotides in length. Their secondary structure includes four short double-helical elements and three loops (D, anti-codon, and T loops). The record is from RNAcentral. Lineage: Bacteria; Candidatus Sungiibacteriota.